RNAcentral lists this ribosomal RNA (678 nucleotides) under Triticum aestivum (bread wheat). RNAcentral describes it as "partial small subunit ribosomal RNA". Lineage: Eukaryota; Viridiplantae; Streptophyta; Magnoliopsida; Poales; Poaceae. The record is from RNAcentral.
AUGCGACAUACAUUUGUCCCUGCUUAUUAUACUCGUGACAUGAUUAAAAAGUUGCAACAUUUAAAACAAGGUAGUGACACCGUAAUGAAAUAUUAUCAUGAUUUACAAACUACCUUGUUGCAUUCCUCUUUAGAAGAAAGUGAAGAAGAUUUUAUGGAUAUAUUUUGGGGAGGAUUAAACCAUGACAUUCAGGAGAUACUUAUUCAUGAAAAGUGUUAUUCUAUGGACCGUUUGUUUCGUCUUGCUUGCAAAGCUGAACAGGAGAUAACAAGACGUGUUGCCCACAAGAUAAACAAGCAGAAGGUGCAAAUCCCAAGAGUUGCGACGGUUGUUCCUUCCACCACUACGCGUACUAUGACAACAACAUCCAUUGUUGAGAGCACUACAUCACCUCCACCAUGUGACGUGUCGCCACCUAGAGUGCCUACAUCAUCUUUGUUGAUCAUAAGAGGUAAUGACAAAGGUACCGAUUUUCCACCUCCACAUGAGUAUGAUGAAUGCCUUGUCAAUUUAAAUGAACCAUGCGAUGAGUUACCCACUACUUUGAUCACACCAGCUAUUUUAGAGGACUAUGUUCAUGAUUUGACUUUGCCAUGUGAUCAAACAAUUUUGAGUGAACCCAUUGAAUUAACUAUUGAUGUGAAAGAACCAUGUGAAUCGGUGAAUAAAUCAGAUUAG